GAUGAACGCUAGCUACAGGCUUAACACAUGCAAGUCGAGGGGCAGCAUGAACAUAGCUUGCUAUGUUUGAUGGCGACCGGCGCACGGGUGCGUAACACGUAUCCAAUCUACCCAUGGCUCGGGGAUAGCCUUUCGAAAGAAAGAUUAAUACCCGAUGGUCUCGGUUUAAGGCAUCUUAGACUGAGUAAAGAUUUAUCGGCGAUGGAUGAGGAUGCGUCUGAUUAGGUAGAUGGCGGGGUAACGCCCACCAUGCCUAGAUCAGUAGGGGUUCUGAGAGGAAGGUCCCCCANAUUGGAACUGGAGACACGGUCCAAAACUCCUAACGGGAGGCAGCAGUGAGGAAUAUUGGUCAAUGGACGAGAGUCUGAACCAGCCAAGU
Molecule: ribosomal RNA, 379 nt
Filed under: uncultured bacterium
Lineage: Bacteria
Description: bacterial SSU rRNA
Rfam family: Bacterial small subunit ribosomal RNA
Source: RNAcentral